RNAcentral lists this ribosomal RNA (354 nucleotides) under uncultured Desulfobulbus sp. RNAcentral's name for it is "bacterial SSU rRNA". It matches the Rfam family "Bacterial small subunit ribosomal RNA", at positions 1027 to 1382 of the family's 1533-position model. The record is from RNAcentral. Lineage: Bacteria; Pseudomonadati; Thermodesulfobacteriota; Desulfobulbia; Desulfobulbales; Desulfobulbaceae.
CUGGAGGACAGGUGCUGCAUGGCUGUCGUCAGCUCGUGUCGUGAGAUGUUGGGUUAAGUCCGCAACGAGCGCAACCCUUGCCUUUAGUUGCCAGCAGUUCGGCUGGGCACUCUAAAGGGACUGCCGGUGUUAAACCGGAGGAAGGUGGGGAUGACGUCAAGUCCUCAUGGCCUUUAUGACCAGGGCUACACACGUACUACAAUGGCCGAUACAAAGGGCAGCGACACUGCGAGGUGAAGCCAAUCCCGUAAAAUCGGUCUCAGUCCGGAUUGGAGUCUGCAACUCGACUCCAUGAAGUUGGAAUCGUUAGUAAUCGUGGAUCAGCAUGCCACGGUGAAUACGUUCCCGGGCCUU